GCCACCGUAGCUCAGUCGGUAGAGCGGCGGUUUUGUAAACCGCAGGUCGGGAGUUCGAUCCUCUCCGGUGGCU
Molecule: transfer RNA, 73 nt
Filed under: Euryarchaeota archaeon RBG_16_68_12
Lineage: Archaea; Methanobacteriati; Methanobacteriota
Also listed under: 1 other name
Description: tRNA-Thr
Rfam family: tRNA
About the family: Transfer RNA (tRNA) molecules are approximately 80 nucleotides in length. Their secondary structure includes four short double-helical elements and three loops (D, anti-codon, and T loops).
Source: RNAcentral